RNAcentral lists this microRNA precursor (84 nucleotides) under Ovis aries (sheep). Its description in RNAcentral is "miRNA (ENSOARG00000021287.1)". The record is from RNAcentral. Lineage: Eukaryota; Metazoa; Chordata; Mammalia; Artiodactyla; Bovidae.
UGGGUUGGCCAAAAAGUUUGUUUGGGUUUGUCUGUAAAAUGUUAUGGAAAAACCUGAAUGAACUUUUUUGCCAACUCAAUAUUU